This 707-nucleotide ribosomal RNA is filed under the name uncultured marine bacterium. RNAcentral's name for it is "bacterial SSU rRNA". It matches the Rfam family "Bacterial small subunit ribosomal RNA", at positions 76 to 821 of the family's 1533-position model. The record is from RNAcentral.
CGAACCUUCGGGUUAGUGGCGGACGGGUGAGUAACGCGUGAGAAUCUGCCCUCAGGAGGGGGAUAACGGUUGGAAACGACCGCUAAUACCCCAUAUGCCGCGAGGUGAAAUGAAUUUCGCCUGAGGAUGAGCUCGCGUCUGAUUAGCUAGUUGGUGGGGUAAAGGCUUACCAAGGCAUCGAUCAGUAGCUGGUCUGAGAGGAUGAUCAGCCACACUGGGACUGAGACACGGCCCAGACUCCUACGGGAGGCAGCAGUGGGGAAUUUUCCGCAAUGGGCGAAAGCCUGACGGAGCAACGCCGCGUGAGGGAUGAAGGCCUCUGGGCUGUAAACCUCUUUUAUCAAGGAAGAAGAUCUGACGGUACUUGAUGAAUAAGCCACGGCUAAUUCCGUGCCAGCAGCCGCGGUAAUACGGGAGUGGCAAGCGUUAUCCGGAAUUAUUGGGCGUAAAGCGUCCGCAGGCGGCCCUUCAAGUCUGCUGUUAAAAAGUGGAGCUUAACUCCAUCAUGGCAGUGGAAACUGUUGGGCUUGAGUGUGGUAGGGGCAGAGGGAAUUCCCGGCGUAGCGGUGAAAUGCGUAGAUAUCGGGAAGAACACCAGUGGCGAAGGCGCUCUGCUGGGCCAUCACUGACGCUCAUGGACGAAAGCCAGGGGAGCGAAAGGGAUUAGAUACCCCUGUAGUCCUGGCCGUAAACGAUGAACACUAGGU